This 406-nucleotide ribosomal RNA is filed under the name uncultured bacterium. Its description in RNAcentral is "partial 16S ribosomal RNA". It matches the Rfam family "Bacterial small subunit ribosomal RNA", at positions 30 to 526 of the family's 1533-position model. The record is from RNAcentral.
AUUGAACGCUGGCGGCAGGCCUAACACAUGCAAGUCGAGCGAGCGGCGGACGGGUGAGUAAUGUCUGGGAAACUGCCUGAUGGAGGGGGAUAACUUUUGGAAACCGUAGCUAAUACCCCAUAUCAUCAGAUCUUCUCAGAUGGGAUUAGCUAGUGGGUGAGGUAACGGCUCACCUAGGCGACGAUCCCUAGCUGGUCUGAGAGGAUGACCAGCCACACUGGAACUGAGACACGGUCCAGACUCCUACGGGAGGCAGCAGUGGGGAAUCUUGCGCAAUGGGCGAAAGCCUGACACAGCCAUGCCGCGUGUGUGAAGAAGGCCUUCGGGUUGUAAAGCACUUUCAGCGGGGAGGCGUUACCCGAAGAGGAAGCACCGGCUAACUCCGUGCCAGCAGCCGCGGUAAUAC